This 421-nucleotide ribosomal RNA is filed under the name uncultured bacterium. RNAcentral describes it as "partial 16S ribosomal RNA". It matches the Rfam family "Bacterial small subunit ribosomal RNA", at positions 360 to 773 of the family's 1533-position model. The record is from RNAcentral.
AAUAUUGGACAAUGGGCGAAAGCCUGAUCCAGCCAUGCCGCGUGUGUGAAGAAGGUCUUCGGGUUGUAAAGCACUUUAAGCAGUGAAGAAGACUCCAUGGUUAAUACCCAUGGACGAUGACAUUAGCUGCAGAAUAAGCACCGGCUAACUCUGUGCCAGCAACCGCGGUAAUACGGAGGGUGCAAGCGUUAAUCGGAAUUACUGGGCGUAAAGCCAAGGUAAGGGGGUUGAUAAGGCAGAUGUUAAAGCCCCGGGCCUAAACGGGGAACGGCAUCUGAUAAUGUUAGGCUAGAGUAGGUGAGAGGAAGGUAGAAUUCCAGGUGUAGCGGUGAAAUGCGUAGAGAUCUGGAGGAAUACCGAUGGCGAAGGCAGCCUUCUGGCAUCAUACUGACACUGAGGUUCGAAAGCGUGGGUAGCAAAC